This 771-nucleotide ribosomal RNA is filed under the name uncultured bacterium. RNAcentral's name for it is "bacterial SSU rRNA". It matches the Rfam family "Bacterial small subunit ribosomal RNA", at positions 8 to 796 of the family's 1533-position model. The record is from RNAcentral.
AGAGUUUGAUCCUGGCUCAGGACGAACGCUGGCGGCGUGCUUAACACAUGCAAGUCGAACGGAAAGGCCCUUCGGGGUACUCGAGUGGCGAACGGGUGAGUAACACGUGGGUGAUCUGCCCUGCACUUUGGGAUAAGCCUGGGAAACUGGGUCUAAUACCGGAUAGGACUACGGCCUGCAUGGGUUGUGGUGGAAAGCUUUUGCGGUGUGGGAUGGGCCCGCGGCCUAUCAGCUUGUUGGUGGGGUGAUGGCCUACCAAGGCGACGACGGGUAGCCGGCCUGAGAGGGUGUCCGGCCACACUGGGACUGAGAUACGGCCCAGACUCCUACGGGAGGCAGCAGUGGGGAAUAUUGCACAAUGGGCGCAAGCCUGAUGCAGCGACGCCGCGUGAGGGAUGACGGCCUUCGGGUUGUAAACCUCUUUCAGUAGGGACGAAGCGCAAGUGACGGUACCUAUAGAAGAAGCACCGGCCAACUACGUGCCAGCAGCCGCGGUAAUACGUAGGGUGCGAGCGUUGUCCGGAAUUACUGGGCGUAAAGAGCUCGUAGGUGGUUUGUCGCGUUGUUCGUGAAAACUCACAGCUCAACUGUGGGCGUGCGGGCGAUACGGGCAGACUGGAGUACUGCAGGGGAGACUGGAAUUCCUGGUGUAGCGGUGGAAUGCGCAGAUAUCAGGAGGAACACCGGUGGCGAAGGCGGGUCUCUGGGCAGUAACUGACGCUGAGGAGCGAAAGCGUGGGGAGCGAACAGGAUUAGAUACCCCGGUAGUCC